Molecule: ribosomal RNA, 253 nt
Filed under: uncultured bacterium
Lineage: Bacteria
Description: partial 16S ribosomal RNA
Rfam family: Bacterial small subunit ribosomal RNA
Source: RNAcentral
UAUGAAGGUGGCUAGCGUUGUUCGGAUUUAUUGGGCGUAAAGGGUCCGCAGGCGGUUUGAUAAGUCAGGUGUGAAAUCCCACAGCUUAACUGUGGACACGCAUUCGAUACUGUCAGACUAGAGUAUGAGAGGGGUAAGAGGAAUUUCCAGUGUAGGGGUGAAAUCCGUAGAUAUUGGAAAGAACACCGGCCGCGAAGGCGUUUUACUGGCUCAUUACUGACGCUCAGGGACGAAAGCCAGGGGAGCAAACGGG